UUGGAGGGCAAGUCUGGUGCCAGCAGCCGCGGUAAUUCCAGCUCCAAUAGCGUAUAUUAAAGUUGUUGCAGUUAAAAAGCUCGUAGUUGAAUUUCGGGAUCAGUACGUUGGUCGUGCCUUAGGUACGUACUGGUGUUACUGGUUCCUACCUUCUGACGAACCAUCAUGUCAUUCAUUUGGUGUGGCGGGGAAUCAGGACUGUUACUUUGAAAAAAUUAGAGUGUUUAAAGCAGGCUCGCGCUUGAAUACAUUAGCAUGGAAUAAUGAAAUAGGACGUUGAUCCUAUUUUGUUGGUUUCUAGGAUUGACGUAAUGAUUAAUAGGGAUAGUUGGGGGCAUUAGUAUUCAAUUGUCAGAGGUGAAAUUCUUGGAUUUAUUGAAGACUAACUACUGCGAAAGCAUUUGCCAAGGAUGUUUUCAUUAAUCAAGAACGAAAGUUAGGGGAUCGAAGACGAUCAGAUACCGUCGUAGUCUUAACCAUAAACUAUGCCGACUAGGGAUCGGAUGAUGUUAUUUUUAAUGACUCAUUCGGCGCCUUACGGGAAAC
Molecule: ribosomal RNA, 546 nt
Filed under: uncultured Glomeromycotina
Lineage: Eukaryota; Fungi; Glomeromycota
Description: SSU rRNA
Rfam family: Eukaryotic small subunit ribosomal RNA
Source: RNAcentral